AUGGCCCGGGGGCUGCCUGCGGUCCCCAUACCCACGGUCACCGGGGGGGAGAUGUGGUGGCUUGGGGCUGCCCUCCCUGCACGGGGAGAGGAGAGCGGGGAAAAAGGGCUGCGGAGUGAAAGGGUGAAGGGGAAGGAAGGAGCGUGGGGAGACACAGCCCGCAGGGAGGCCGGGACCCCCCCCCCGCAGCCUCCUGGGCUUAUUCCUCGCCGCUCCUGCGGUAGCGUUUUCACCUUGUGCUGCGAAGGAGUCAUUACGGCGGGCCGGGGCGGCGAUUGGCUGGCUAAAAAUGCCUCGGUAAUCUCCGUGCUGAUCUUUACCCCCCUCCUCCCCAUCUGCCGUGACCUUCCUCCCAAUGUGCAGAUCCAGCCCGAGCGAGACGGAGCUGACGGCUUCCCCGCCGGCGCCCCGGCCGCCCCCGCUGCCCCCCGGCCUCCGCGGCCCCGCGGCCGCCCCGCGCCCUCCCCUGCUCCCCGCAGCCGCUCGCCCAAGGUACCGGCACGCGUCCCCCGGGGCUCCCGGCGCGAUACGGAGCCCACCAGGCCCCCGGGAGGUUGGCGGUGGUGGAAGGGGGCUCGCGGUGGGGGACGGUGGCGGUGGUGGCCCCGGGAAGCAGACGGGAUGCCGGGGUUCGGCAUGUCCCCGUGUGCCGUGGUGGUGCUGCCCCCCUGGGAGCCCCUGCACGGUCCCGUGGCAGGGAAGGGGGAUAUAUUUUGGCGUAGCAGCUCGCUGCCCCUUGUUUUAAGCAAUUUCCAAACUCCUCUAGGAUCAGGGCUUGCUUUCUGUCGUGGGUUCACCCCCAAAGUCCGGUCUCGCCAGCUUUUUCUGGUCGCAGUGGGGGUGCCUCGGGUCUGGGCUCAGCCUCCUGAACCUCCUGGGGAGCUGCUGGCGGGUGGGAAAUGGCAGCGGGGGUCUCGCUGGGGGGGACACAGAGGCUCUGCAGCAUCUCGGGGCUCAGAGGACACAGGGCCUGGCCGCUGCACAUCCCCACCCUCGCACGCCCUGCUCCGUGCGUUACGCAAAAGCUGCAUCACCCCCAUAGCCCACGCGGCCCUGCUGGCCCCCAGGGGAUCCUGGGGGGGCUGCGGGGGGAUCUUGGGGGUUGUGGGGGGAUCCUGGGGAUUGUGA
Molecule: long non-coding RNA, 1128 nt
Filed under: Anser brachyrhynchus (Pink-footed goose)
Lineage: Eukaryota; Metazoa; Chordata; Aves; Anseriformes; Anatidae
Description: lncRNA (ENSABRG00000011518.1)
Source: RNAcentral